RNAcentral lists this ribosomal RNA (483 nucleotides) under uncultured Megasphaera sp. RNAcentral describes it as "bacterial SSU rRNA". It matches the Rfam family "Bacterial small subunit ribosomal RNA", at positions 70 to 524 of the family's 1533-position model. Lineage: Bacteria; Bacillati; Bacillota; Negativicutes; Veillonellales; Veillonellaceae. The record is from RNAcentral.
GCUUGCUUCCUAUGAAAAUCGAGUGGCAAAACGGGUGAGUAAACGCGUAAAACAAAACCUGCCCUUCGGAUGGGGAUAACAGCCGGAAACGGCUGCUAAUACCGAAUACGAUCUUUUCGUCGCAUGACGGAAAGAAGAAAAGGAUGGCCUCUAUACAAAGCUAUCGCCGAAGGAGGGGUUUGCGUCUGAUUAGCUGGUUGGAGGGUAACGGCCCAACAAGGCGAUGAUCAGUAGCCCCGGUCUGAGAGGAUGAACGGCCACAUUGGGACUGAGACACGGCCCAGACUCCUACGGGAGGCAGCAGUGGGGGAAUCUUCCGCAAUGGACGAAAGUCUGACGGAGCAACGCCGCGUGAGUGAAGAAGGUCUUCGGAUUGUAAAACUCUGUUAUACGGGACGAAAAAGGCGGAUGCCAACAGUAUCCGUCCGUGACGGUACCGUAAGAGAAAGCCACGGCUAACUACGUGCCAGCAGCCGCGGUAAU